This is a long non-coding RNA of Callorhinus ursinus (northern fur seal), 965 nucleotides long. RefSeq lists it as uncharacterized. The record is from RefSeq and is a predicted model, not a curated record. Lineage: Eukaryota; Metazoa; Chordata; Mammalia; Carnivora; Otariidae.
ACCCCGGCCCCGGGCUCCAGCUCGGCAGAGGGCGGUGGGUGGUUCGGCCUCCUGCAUGUCCCCUCUGUGGGGUCUCCAGGGCCGGUGGUCCCAGAGACCAUCCUGGGGGAGUGACCCACAUGGGCACUGUGUGUCAGGCUGCUGUAGCCUGUGUAGGAGUCUGGGGGUGAAUAGAGGGAGAAGGCUCCUCCUGACUUGGAUGGUGGGUGCCUCCCCUGCCUGUACCAUGUGGCCUUGGCACUGGUGUGGCUGUGGGGUUCGGGAUAGGACGUACAGAAGGCCCACACGGAUGGAAGCACUGGCUCUACCCAGCCUUGCUGGGAGCCCUGGCCGCAGCUCUGGCCUCUCUCCCUUUCCGUCUAGGUCAGCUCUCUCUUGUCCCUCCCACCUGAAGUAGGAAGAUGAGGGGCAGCAUGAUCACUGUCAUGGGCGGGGCGGCAGUGUGGCCGCGGAAGGCAGCCCUGCCACAUCGGAGCUCCCAGACUCGAAGGCCAGCGAGACAAGAGAAGCCCCUGGAUACACUCACUUCUUGCCCUCCUGGGCCUGCCGCUGCACUUCCUGCAGCCCGUCGACCGCCUGGUGAAAAUCAAACACUGCACGGCCAGCCGGGUAAGUGGACGACCACCCCAUUGCCUGCAACACAUCACAGGGGACUGAGUCGUACAGUGGACACGGUGACUUACGUUGAGGGGGAUUCUGACACCUGUUACAACAUGGGCGGACCUUGAGGACACUAUGGCGAGCGACACAGGCAGGUCACCAAAGGACAAACACCCUGUUGGAAGAAAUGGCCCAAACCAAACCAAAGCAACGGGAAGCACGUGCAGAGCCCGAGCGCAGAGGAGAGCUUGUGGAGGUGGCAGGGUUGCCGGCAAACGGCAGAGGGGACUCUUCUUGGGGUGAGGACAGUGCUCUGGGGCUGAGCUGUGUUGAACGUCAUGGCACAUAAAUUAUACCUCGGUGAA